CCUUUUUGAUGACAAUGGCAAUGGGUGUGGCUAGAACUGGAACUAGUCAGUGACUCGAUGCCAAGUGUCAUAGGCAGCAAUGCCAGUGAUGGCACCUUAGGUUACAAGACCAUAUGGGUGUUUGUAUAUUGCUGUGUCCAUGUGUACAAUUCUUAGAUGGAGCAGGAUCUCAAGUUCAGCAUUUUCUAUGGUCUAGCAGUUUCACGUGGAGAAAAGGGGACACAUAGCUCUGUGUCAGCAGCUUAAAGCCCUUCCAGCCUCUUGCUGAUUUGAGGGCACUCACAGAAAGCCCAAGGCUUAUUAAAAAAAACACAAAUAAACCUUUCCAAAAGUGCCAGACCUGGCUUCAUCCACAGACUAGUCACCACUCCUGCAAUGAAGCAGCAGGGUGGCUGCCAUGUAAUAAGGCACAAUAGAUUCCUUGGUACUAGGGAUCCUGAGCAUCCUCUUGUCUGAUUUUUUGGUUGUGUUCUUUGUAAAUAACUAAGACCCGUUAUCAGCACAGGCACAGAUUAAAGACAGGCAAAUACAGCCAGCCAGCUUGGAAAGUCUCAUCUCUCAAAGUCAUCUUCACAGUCAGAAGUGUCACCCAUGGGGGAAGGAGAUGGUAAUGUAGUGACUGAACCAGGAUUGAGCCCCAAACUUGGUGAAUCUUCUCAGAUCACAGAAUCCAGGCAGUAUAGAGAAUUCUCCUUCUACUUCCCCUUACUUCAUCCUCAGAAUCUACUACUACACCCUCCUCUAAAAGAUGCUUUGUAAGCAAUAGCAUUCACUAGUCAUAAAAACAUUUUCCUAUUUGAGCUUUGUUUUUUCUUCUUAUUCUGGGUUUCUUUAGUUAUUGGUGUUAUAACAGUAGUGUUUUCUGCUAUUUCUCACAUGCAUAUAGAAUAGCAGGUGCAUUGUGAGUUAAGUAGGCUUUGGUGAGCCAGCCAGGGUUUCUAUGGUAAAAUACAUUUCAAGUUCAAAACAAAAAACUUAGAAACCGCCCAUGCCAUCUGCCAUCUGGCUACUACCACUAAGCAUAGCCUGUCUGAACUUCUGCUGAUAUGGAUCCUCCACUUAGAAAUACCUCUCUCUCCUCCCCAUCCUGACCACAGGCAGAACAUAAGACUUGCCAGUGUGACAAACCCAGAAGGCAUCGAUUUCUUAUAUUUGUGUACUGAUAUUUCAUCAUUAGACAGAUAAAUAUCCUUUGGGUCCUCCAGCCACAGAAGCUCCCACAAAGGAUGAGGUCUAAUGUGAGUCAUGGCCACACCAAGUCCUCAAGUCUGACCUGCACAGGAAUGGAGAAAGUAUCAAUAAAUACAUCUCUACAGCAAGA
Molecule: long non-coding RNA, 1321 nt
Organism: Monodelphis domestica (gray short-tailed opossum)
Lineage: Eukaryota; Metazoa; Chordata; Mammalia; Didelphimorphia; Didelphidae
Source: RefSeq, a predicted model, not a curated record